GUAGAACAAAAAGAUUCUGGUUCGAUCAAACUGUGAUCUUUUGAAGCUAUUAUGGUGUGUAUUUAUACUCUGUGAGGUCGUCUUGUCUUGUAAAUCUUGAGAGAUUGCAAACCCAAGGGAGUUGAUCUCAAGAGGAAUCGUAGAUUGAUUUUUUUUCAAGAAUAUGACAUUGCUUCUGCUGAUUUUUCUUGACUUGUGGUCUUGAUUGUAUUUUUCUUUGAUUGAGCAAAUAUUCCCGUUAUUUGAAGUAUCAAAUUAGAUCCCUUGGUUGCUGCUUUGAUUGACGUCCUUAGAUGGAGGAAUCUCUAGUACAAUUUCGUGCUUUUGAUUACCUUUGAUUGAGGUCCUUCCUCUAAUAUCCUCCUUAAUCUUCUACCAAGUCCUUGAUUGAUUUCGCCUUUGAAUUUUCGCUACUCCUUCCUUUUUUGUCUUGAUUCUUCGAUGCUUCCUUUUCAUUGCUCAAGCAGUAUUGUUGCACAUAAAAUAUAAUAUGCUAUUUUGCAUAAUUAAAAUAAAUAUAUAUCUAAUAAUCUCCCACUUUUUGACGAUGAUAAAAUAAUAAUGUGAUUACUUCAGUUUGCUUCCCUGUUUAACAGGCGACUAAGCGUUUUCCAUAGUCGACUCCCCCUCAAUUUGUGUUCCUUGUCAGAUGUGGCUAAUUGACUCCCCCUCGACUUGACAUCCUAUUGAGCAGUGGUUGUAGUCGAUUCCCCAUCCAAUUACCUGCAAGUUUCAUAGAGAUAUAAGACAACAAUAAGAAAAUUUACAAAACACAGAAUAGCCACCAGUAGACAGGGAUUACAAGC
Molecule: long non-coding RNA, 806 nt
Filed under: Nicotiana benthamiana
Lineage: Eukaryota; Viridiplantae; Streptophyta; Magnoliopsida; Solanales; Solanaceae
Description: long non-coding RNA (NBEN_LNC042167)
Source: RNAcentral